UCCCUGGUGGCUCAGUCGGUAAAGAAUCUGCCUGCAGUGCAGGAGACCUGGGUUCGAUCCCUGGAUUGGGAA
This 72-nucleotide transfer RNA is filed under the name Ovis aries (sheep). It matches the Rfam family "tRNA". From Rfam's summary of the family: Transfer RNA (tRNA) molecules are approximately 80 nucleotides in length. Lineage: Eukaryota; Metazoa; Chordata; Mammalia; Artiodactyla; Bovidae. The record is from Rfam by way of RNAcentral.